This 2902-nucleotide ribosomal RNA is filed under the name Escherichia coli O104:H4 str. 11-4632 C3. Its description in RNAcentral is "bacterial LSU rRNA". It matches the Rfam family "Bacterial large subunit ribosomal RNA". The record is from RNAcentral. Lineage: Bacteria; Pseudomonadati; Pseudomonadota; Gammaproteobacteria; Enterobacterales; Enterobacteriaceae.
UUAAGCGACUAAGCGUACACGGUGGAUGCCCUGGCAGUCAGAGGCGAUGAAGGACGUGCUAAUCUGCGAUAAGCGUCGGUAAGGUGAUAUGAACCGUUAUAACCGGCGAUUUCCGAAUGGGGAAACCCAGUGUGUUUCGACACACUAUCAUUAACUGAAUCCAUAGGUUAAUGAGGCGAACCGGGGGAACUGAAACAUCUAAGUACCCCGAGGAAAAGAAAUCAACCGAGAUUCCCCCAGUAGCGGCGAGCGAACGGGGAGCAGCCCAGAGCCUGAAUCAGUAUGUGUGUUAGUGGAAGCGUCUGGAAAGGCGCGCGAUACAGGGUGACAGCCCCGUACACAAAAAUGCACAUGCUGUGAGCUCGAUGAGUAGGGCGGGACACGUGGUAUCCUGUCUGAAUAUGGGGGGACCAUCCUCCAAGGCUAAAUACUCCUGACUGACCGAUAGUGAACCAGUACCGUGAGGGAAAGGCGAAAAGAACCCCGGCGAGGGGAGUGAAAAAGAACCUGAAACCGUGUACGUACAAGCAGUGGGAGCACGCUUAGGCGUGUGACUGCGUACCUUUUGUAUAAUGGGUCAGCGACUUAUAUUCUGUAGCAAGGUUAACCGAAUAGGGGAGCCGAAGGGAAACCGAGUCUUAACUGGGCGUUAAGUUGCAGGGUAUAGACCCGAAACCCGGUGAUCUAGCCAUGGGCAGGUUGAAGGUUGGGUAACACUAACUGGAGGACCGAACCGACUAAUGUUGAAAAAUUAGCGGAUGACUUGUGGCUGGGGGUGAAAGGCCAAUCAAACCGGGAGAUAGCUGGUUCUCCCCGAAAGCUAUUUAGGUAGCGCCUCGUGAAUUCAUCUCCGGGGGUAGAGCACUGUUUCGGCAAGGGGGUCAUCCCGACUUACCAACCCGAUGCAAACUGCGAAUACCGGAGAAUGUUAUCACGGGAGACACACGGCGGGUGCUAACGUCCGUCGUGAAGAGGGAAACAACCCAGACCGCCAGCUAAGGUCCCAAAGUCAUGGUUAAGUGGGAAACGAUGUGGGAAGGCCCAGACAGCCAGGAUGUUGGCUUAGAAGCAGCCAUCAUUUAAAGAAAGCGUAAUAGCUCACUGGUCGAGUCGGCCUGCGCGGAAGAUGUAACGGGGCUAAACCAUGCACCGAAGCUGCGGCAGCGACGCUGAUGCGUUGUUGGGUAGGGGAGCGUUCUGUAAGCCUGUGAAGGUGUGCUGUGAGGCAUGCUGGAGGUAUCAGAAGUGCGAAUGCUGACAUAAGUAACGAUAAAGCGGGUGAAAAGCCCGCUCGCCGGAAGACCAAGGGUUCCUGUCCAACGUUAAUCGGGGCAGGGUGAGUCGACCCCUAAGGCGAGGCCGAAAGGCGUAGUCGAUGGGAAACAGGUUAAUAUUCCUGUACUUGGUGUUACUGCGAAGGGGGGACGGAGAAGGCUAUGUUGGCCGGGCGACGGUUGUCCCGGUUUAAGCGUGUAGGCUGGUUUUCCAGGCAAAUCCGGAAAAUCAAGGCUGAGGCGUGAUGACGAGGCACUACGGUGCUGAAGCAACAAAUGCCCUGCUUCCAGGAAAAGCCUCUAAGCAUCAGGUAACAUCAAAUCGUACCCCAAACCGACACAGGUGGUCAGGUAGAGAAUACCAAGGCGCUUGAGAGAACUCGGGUGAAGGAACUAGGCAAAAUGGUGCCGUAACUUCGGGAGAAGGCACGCUGAUAUGUAGGUGAAGUCCCUCGCGGAUGGAGCUGAAAUCAGUCGAAGAUACCAGCUGGCUGCAACUGUUUAUUAAAAACACAGCACUGUGCAAACACGAAAGUGGACGUAUACGGUGUGACGCCUGCCCGGUGCCGGAAGGUUAAUUGAUGGGGUUAGCGCAAGCGAAGCUCUUGAUCGAAGCCCCGGUAAACGGCGGCCGUAACUAUAACGGUCCUAAGGUAGCGAAAUUCCUUGUCGGGUAAGUUCCGACCUGCACGAAUGGCGUAAUGAUGGCCAGGCUGUCUCCACCCGAGACUCAGUGAAAUUGAACUCGCUGUGAAGAUGCAGUGUACCCGCGGCAAGACGGAAAGACCCCGUGAACCUUUACUAUAGCUUGACACUGAACAUUGAGCCUUGAUGUGUAGGAUAGGUGGGAGGCUUUGAAGUGUGGACGCCAGUCUGCAUGGAGCCGACCUUGAAAUACCACCCUUUAAUGUUUGAUGUUCUAACGUGGACCCGUAAUCCGGGUUGCGGACAGUGUCUGGUGGGUAGUUUGACUGGGGCGGUCUCCUCCUAAAGAGUAACGGAGGAGCACGAAGGUUGGCUAAUCCUGGUCGGACAUCAGGAGGUUAGUGCAAUGGCAUAAGCCAGCUUGACUGCGAGCGUGACGGCGCGAGCAGGUGCGAAAGCAGGUCAUAGUGAUCCGGUGGUUCUGAAUGGAAGGGCCAUCGCUCAACGGAUAAAAGGUACUCCGGGGAUAACAGGCUGAUACCGCCCAAGAGUUCAUAUCGACGGCGGUGUUUGGCACCUCGAUGUCGGCUCAUCACAUCCUGGGGCUGAAGUAGGUCCCAAGGGUAUGGCUGUUCGCCAUUUAAAGUGGUACGCGAGCUGGGUUUAGAACGUCGUGAGACAGUUCGGUCCCUAUCUGCCGUGGGCGCUGGAGAACUGAGGGGGGCUGCUCCUAGUACGAGAGGACCGGAGUGGACGCAUCACUGGUGUUCGGGUUGUCAUGCCAAUGGCACUGCCCGGUAGCUAAAUGCGGAAGAGAUAAGUGCUGAAAGCAUCUAAGCACGAAACUUGCCCCGAGAUGAGUUCUCCCUGACUCCUUGAGAGUCCUGAAGGAACGUUGAAGACGACGACGUUGAUAGGCCGGGUGUGUAAGCGCAGCGAUGCGUUGAGCUAACCGGUACUAAUGAACCGUGAGGCUUAACCUU